RNAcentral lists this ribosomal RNA (349 nucleotides) under uncultured bacterium. RNAcentral describes it as "bacterial SSU rRNA". It matches the Rfam family "Bacterial small subunit ribosomal RNA", at positions 8 to 353 of the family's 1533-position model. The record is from RNAcentral.
AGAGUUUGAUCCUGGCUCAGGAUGAACGCUAGCUACAGGCUUAACACAUGCAAGUCGAGGGGCAUCAGGGUGUAGCAAUACACCGCUGGCGACCGGCGCACGGGUGAGUAACACGUAUCCAACCUGCCCUUUACUCGGGGAUAGCCUUUCGAAAGAAAGAUUAAUACCCGAUGGCAUAACAUGACCUCCUGGUUUUGUUAUUAAAGAAUUUCGGUAGAGGAUGGGGAUGCGUUCCAUUAGGCAGUUGGCGGGGUAACGGCCCACCAAGGCAACGAUCAGUAGGGGUUCUGAGAGGAAGGUCCCCCACAUUGGAACUGAGACACGGUCCAAACUCCUACGGGAGGCAGCA